AGAGUUUGAUCAUGGCUCAGGAUGAACGCUAGCGGUAUGCUUAACACAUGCAAGUCGUACGGAAAAGAAAUUUUUAGUGGCGAACGGGUGAGUAGCGCGUGAGAACUUGCCUUUAGGAAGAGGAUAACAUUUAGAAAUAUUUGCUAAAACUCUAUAUGCCGUGAGGUGAAAAAAGUAAUUUGCCUAAAGAGAGGCUCGCGUCUGAUUAGCUAGUUGGUGAGGUAAUGGCUCACCAAGGCGACGAUCAGUAGCUGGCCUGAGAGGACGAUCAGCCACACUGGAACUGAGACACGGUCCAGACUCCUACGGGAGGCAGCAGUGAGGAAUUUUCUGCAAUGGGCGCAAGCCUGACAGAGCAAUACCGCGUGAGGGAUGACUGCCUACGGGUUGUAAACCUCUUUUCUCAAGGAGGAAGAACUGACGUUACUUGAGGAAUAAGCAUCGGCUAACCCUGUGCCAGCAGCCGCGGUAAUACAGGGGAUGCAAGUGUUAUCCGGAAUUAUUGGGCGUAAAGCGUCUGCAGGUGGAUUUAUAAGUCUUUUGUUAAAUCUUUGAGCUUAACUCAAAAUCUGCAAAAGAAACUAUAUAUCUUGAGUAUGGUAGAGGUAAAGGGAAUUUCCAG
Molecule: ribosomal RNA, 622 nt
Filed under: uncultured Crater Lake bacterium CL0-35
Lineage: Bacteria
Description: bacterial SSU rRNA
Rfam family: Bacterial small subunit ribosomal RNA
Source: RNAcentral